This is a long non-coding RNA of Parus major (Great Tit), 2013 nucleotides long. RefSeq lists it as uncharacterized. NCBI's taxonomy places the organism in Eukaryota, Metazoa, Chordata, Aves, Passeriformes, Paridae. The record is from RefSeq and is a predicted model, not a curated record. The transcript is spliced from 3 exons.
GUGAAACAAAGAAUGUAUGUAUAUAUCUACAUGCAGGUGAAAUAGAUGCACUGUUCUUAGGUUGACUGAAGAGGAUACCUAAACCUUCUACUCUUCACAAUGAAGCAUUCCUAAAGGCUUCAUUAGUGACAUUUGCAAUGUAAAUGACAAUUAAAAUAUAUAGGUAUUAAAUGUGACACUAGAUUUGCAAAUCUUUGAUCAUUGACUGUCAACUGGGCAAUGUGCUGACAAAAGAACUUGAUGUCUCAGGAAAACACUCCAUCUUCUGAUAGUGGUCAGUCUUUCACAUGAGUUCCUGUUAAAAAGAAGUGGAAGAAGUAUUUAUUGCAGACACAAAUAGAAAAUUACUUUUUCCAGUACUUGUAAGAUAUUUGUAUGCAAAUCAUCACAAUAGUUUAAAGCUAGGUGUAAGACCUCAUGAUUUAGGCUUGUUGGUAUGCCUGUGUAUAUGUUCAUGGCAGACCAUCAAGCCUGCUGGUACACUCAGGACUCUGAUAGGACAGGAAAUACUUAGUUUCUGAAACAGGACUAGGCUUUCUACUACAUUUGCUCACUUUUAUCUUAAUCUUCUCUAGCUUUGCAUGUACAUCACAACAAUGACUAGCUAAUAUCCAAAAUUAUUUAAGGCAAAUAAAGUUACAGAUUUCAACAAGUUUCAGAAUAUCAGUGUAAGAAGGAAUCCAGUCAGCUGUGGUAAGAAAGGCAGAAAAAUUCAUUUUUUAUUUUUCUAAAUCUUUAUGUUACUCUUUGUUUGCUAAGAUUAAAGUAUUUUAGUGAUUAUAAGUGAUUUAGGGUGCUAGUGGUACUCUACAAGUUACUGCCUUCAACCCCAACUGGCUUCUGGGGCUUGUAACUUUGAGGCAGACCAUAGCAAGACCAAGACUUUCUGGGAAGCAGACACUUCCAAGAGGUGGUGUCCCUCACCUCUCUAUAGAAGUGACUGGGAAAAUGGCUAUAAAAUGGAAGAAAAGAGAUCAGGAAGAAUUAUCUCUAGACAAGGAAGUAGGAGAAGAUCACAGAACUCUUCUAUGGAAGGAGAAAACAGAUGCUCAAAGUGAAGUGUGAUGCAGUGGCAUCCACAAAAAUGGUUGUGGGACCUGGGAGGCCAGAUGAAGGCACUCAGGGCUAAUGAGAAGCAAUGAGCUAGAUAAAUGGGUUAAUUACAUUUAUCUGGAGAGCCCUUCUGUUCAAGGGUGAAGGAGUAAAGCAGGAUUUCUUUGCUUUGGAAGCAGAAAGGCCCAGAGAAAUUUGGGCUGAAAUAGAUGAUAUAACCAAGUCUUUCGCAGGAAGAGAGAAGUACUUGCAAGCAAAGGGGAGCUGAAGGAUUGUCAAAAGAAGGUAAAGGACUUUCCAGAACUUUAUCUAUUUCUUUCAUAACCUGAAGAAAAAAAAUGAAGAAAAUUCACCUUUGCAAAACAGCAGUUUGCCAGGCUACUAAAUGGUUACCCUGAAAAUAAAUAAAUAAAUUUAGAAAGCUGAGGUGGGCCAGAGGAGCACAGCUCAAUGUUUUAUGCAAGAGCGGUGAAGAACGUGUCGGCCUGUUGUCAGCUAAUUGCUGCUUGUCUCCAUCUCCAUCAGGUCUGAAAGCAUUCUGUUUUCUCUCUGUCCAUAAGGAAGGAAACUUCUUGUGGUCCUGCUGAGGAAAGUGAACACUUCUUACUCUUUUGGUGAAAACCAUCUUUAUGAGCCAGGUUGUGCCAGCUAAUAAGAUUAAUUUAUAAGUACAAGAAUACCUGGUCACUGAACAAUGAAGGGAAGUUACAUUAUUAAGUUAUUGUAAUUACUAUAAAAUAAGUGAAUCACAGAAGACUAUUUUAGAGUAGGCAUUGUAAAACAAUUAUUAUAUAAACAAUAAAACAAUAACAAGUUACUGACAAGGCUGAUAUAAUGCUUGUUUUUAUUCUAAGGCACAGAAGACUCUGUAACUUAAUUGAAAAUAAUCAUUCAAUCACGUUGAUAAGGCAUAUAUAUGUCACUGUAAUUCUCAAUCUUUCUGGUGAAUUAUCAGCUACU